Molecule: ribosomal RNA, 253 nt
Filed under: uncultured bacterium
Lineage: Bacteria
Description: partial 16S ribosomal RNA
Rfam family: Bacterial small subunit ribosomal RNA
Source: RNAcentral
UACGUAGGUGGCAAGCGUUGUCCGGAUUUACUGGGCGUAAAGGGCGCGUAGGCGGCCAACUAAGUCAGACGUGAAAUCCCUCGGCUCAACCGGGGAACUGCGUCUGAUACUGGAUGGCUUGAAUUCGGGAGAGGGAUGCGGAAUUCCAGGUGUAGCGGUGAAAUGCGUAGAUAUCUGGAGGAACACCGGUGGCGAAGGCGGCAUCCUGGACCGAGAUUGACGCUGAUGCGCGAAAGCCAGGGGAGCAAACGGG